RNAcentral lists this ribosomal RNA (505 nucleotides) under uncultured Glomeraceae. Its description in RNAcentral is "SSU rRNA". It matches the Rfam family "Eukaryotic small subunit ribosomal RNA", at positions 569 to 1078 of the family's 1831-position model. The record is from RNAcentral. Lineage: Eukaryota; Fungi; Glomeromycota; Glomeromycetes; Glomerales; Glomeraceae.
AGCAGCCGCGGUAAUUCCAGCUCCAAUAGCGUAUAUUAAAGUUGUUGCAGUUAAAAAAGCUCGUAGUUGAAUUUCGGGAUCAGUAUGUUGGUCGUGCUUCGGUACGUACUGUCAUUACUGGUUUCUACCUUCUGAAGAACCUUGAUGUCAUUAAUUUGGUGUCUUGGGGAAUCAGGACUGUUACUUUGAAAAAUUAGAGUGUUUAAAGCAAGCAUACGCUUGAAUACAUUAGCAUGGAAUAAUGAAAUAGGACGUUUGAUUCUAUUUUGUUGGUUUCUAGGAUCGACGUAAUGAUUAAUAGGGAUCGUUGGGGGCAUUAGUAUUCAAUUGUCAGAGGUGAAAUUCUUGGAUUUAUUGAAGACUAACUACUGCGAAAGCAUUUGCCAAGGAUGUUUUCAUUAAUCAAGAACGAAAGUUAGGGGAUCGAAGACGAUCAGAUACCGUCGUAGUCUUAACCAUAAACUAUGCCGACUAGGGAUCGGAUGAUGUUAUUUUUAAUGACUCA